AAGGAGAUUUCACCCAAGUGUGAGCUUAAAGUGUUUCAUUGUGGUUCCAGCUCCAGUUUCAAUGGUUGUAACAAUCAGAAUUCCUGUUGAACAUUGCUGUCGAUAAUUACUCUCCUAUUGUAUUUGUGUCAUAAAAUCAUCUGUGUUGUUAAGCUGCAGUGCUGAUUUAUUGGUCAAUGAAAGUUGCAAAUAAUUGGAUUGAACCAAUCAAUGAAUAAAGUUUCUUUCUUUUUCUUGGGAAGGAAAGCUUUAGAUCUUUCCAUUACCAAAUCUAAUGAUUGGUGUUUUCUACAGUUGAAUGCCAAAAUUUUGCAGCACACAGAUCUGGCUGGCGGCUGGCAAAGCACAUUUCUUUCCUUUCUUGUUUUCAAGCCCCUAAUUGUUCUUUUUCUAUUUAUGGAAGAACGAAACUUUGAAGCCGAAAAAUACAAGUAUAAAACAUUUAGACUCACCAAACCUCCGAUCAAUUCUCUUCUGGUGCUUGUGGAGGAAAACCUGAGGGGGCUGGUUAAGGGAACGAACUGUUCCUCCUUGGCCAUCACAGGAUCCGAACUUAGGCUAAUAAUAUACAUGAAUCAAACUUCUCAUGAAUCCUAAAUUCUGAUGCGAAUGUGCUUUGUUUUACUGCACCGGAGACAUGGACAUAGUUUUGAUGAUGUGUGUAAAGAAUAGAGUAUACCCUUGACAGAGAAAAACAAGAAAAGUUCAACAUUGAGAUAGCAGACCACCAAACCAGUUAGG
Molecule: long non-coding RNA, 741 nt
Filed under: Populus trichocarpa (black cottonwood)
Lineage: Eukaryota; Viridiplantae; Streptophyta; Magnoliopsida; Malpighiales; Salicaceae
Description: long non-coding RNA (PTRI_LNC001777)
Source: RNAcentral